Molecule: ribosomal RNA, 261 nt
Filed under: uncultured prokaryote
Description: partial 16S ribosomal RNA
Rfam family: Bacterial small subunit ribosomal RNA
Source: RNAcentral
UACGUAGGGUCCGAGCGUUGUCCGGAAUUAUUGGGCGUAAAGAGCUCGUAGGCGGCAUGUCGCGUCUGCUGUGAAAGACCGGGGCUUAACUCCGGUUCUGCAGUGGAUACGGGCAUGCUAGAGGUAGGUAGGGGAGACUGGAAUUCCUGGUGUAGCGGUGAAAUGCGCAGAUAUCAGGAGGAACACCGGUGGCGCAGGCGGGUCUCUGGGCCUUACCUGACGCUGAGGAGCGAAAGCAUGGGUAGCGAACAGGAUUAGAUA